Molecule: ribosomal RNA, 448 nt
Filed under: uncultured bacterium
Lineage: Bacteria
Description: bacterial SSU rRNA
Rfam family: Bacterial small subunit ribosomal RNA
Source: RNAcentral
UGGCGGCAUGCCUAACACAUGCAAGUCGAACGAGACCUUCGGGUCUAGUGGCGCACGGGUGCGUAACACGUGGGAAUUGCCUCGGGGUAUGGAAUAACUCAGGGAAACUUGAGCUAAUACCAUAUAAUGUCUUCGGACCAAAGAUUUAUCGCCCUGAGAUAAGCCCGCGUAGGAUUAGCUAGUUGGUGGGGUAAAGGCUCACCAAGGCGACGAUCCUUAGCUGGUCUGAGAGGAUGAUCAGCCACACUGGGACUGAGACACGGCCCAGACUCCUACGGGAGGCAGCAGUGGGGAAUAUUGGACAAUGGGCGCAAGCCUGAUCCAGCAAUGCCGCGUGCAGGAUGAAGGCCUUCGGGUUGUAAACUGCUUUUGUACGGAACGAAACGGUGAGCUCUAAUACAGUUUGCUAAUGACGGUACCGUAAGAAUAAGCACCGGCUAACUACGUG